GCGGUACUCUGACCGUGCAAAGGUAGCAUAAUCAUUUGCCUUAUAAUUGAAGGCUUGUAUGAAUGGUUUGACAAGAAUGAAGCUGUCUCUUUAUAACUAAUUUGAAUUUUAUUUAUAGGUGAAGAAGCCUAUAUUAUAUUGAAAGACAAGAAGACCCUAUCGAGCUUUAAAAAAAUUAAUAAAUUAAAAACUAAUAUUAAAAAUAUAAAUUUCAUUAUUAAGUCAUUUUAGUUGGGGCGACUGAGGAACAAACAAAGCUUCCUGUAAAAAUAUUAAUACAUUCAAGUACUGAUCCAAAAGUUUUGAUUAAAGAAACUAGUUACCGUAGGGAUAACAGCAUUAUCUUUUUUGAGAGUUCUUAUCGAAAAAAAGGUUUGUGACCUCGAUGUUGGACCAGAAUAUCCUAAAGAUGCAGCUGUCUUUAAGGGUUGGUCUGUUCGACCAUUAAAAUUCU
Molecule: ribosomal RNA, 454 nt
Filed under: Ceratostoma rorifluum
Lineage: Eukaryota; Metazoa; Mollusca; Gastropoda; Neogastropoda; Muricidae
Description: partial 16S ribosomal RNA
Rfam family: Bacterial large subunit ribosomal RNA
Source: RNAcentral